AUUACGUUCUGCCAAAAUACGACCUUUCCCUUGCAUUUACCACCUCUUUUCUUCGAAUUUUCAAAUCCUCAGAACAGUACAGGUUACAGACAAAUUAAUCCUACUGACUAUUCACCUCCACUCCAAAACAAGAAGAAAACGAGUAGUAUCCCGGAGACUGGGGAAGGAGAGAGACCCACAAAGAAUCACACACACAACACACACUGAGAAAGAAGGGGGGAAAAAAGGUACUCCCUAGAGAGUUUUAGAGACAGCCCACGAUUCAUUUGCUCAAAAAAUAAUCAAUCAGUCAUCAUGCCAAAAGGUUCCAAGAAGAGAAAGGCUGAAAAGAAAAAGAAGGAGCAAGAGGCAUUGUCCCAUAAUCAGAGUCACAACCAUCAGACACAGCCACAAUCUGCUGUUUCUCAUACUCAUGAAAAUGAUGAUAAAGAAAGUGAGGGUGAGGAGGUUAGUUCUCCAGCCUCACAAGACCAUUCCAGUCAUCAGCAUCAGUUCAUUGAUGGCGAGAAGGAAGAUGUGAAGAAGGUAGAAGAUAGUUCACAUGUUCAAUUAUCUGGUGAGAAGAGCAAAUCCAUUGAAGAACACAAAGAUAAUGGUGUAGCAGUGGAAGAGCCAAAAGCUGAAGAAAGUGUUGUUCAGAUUGAGAAGGAACCGAAGCCUGCAGGUGAAUUGAAUGGCAAUAGCAUAAGUGAGGAGCGCGUUAAGAUUCAGAAGGAAUCAGGUAAUGGAGUUGCAUCUGAGAGUCUGGAUGGGGAGAGUACUUUAGAGGUUGAAAAGGAAUUGAAACGUUUUGAAAAAGUAAAUGCAUCGGUUGAGCAUGUUGAACCGCAGAAGGAACACAAUGAUGGAGUGUUGACUGAGCGUCGUAAUGAUGAAUGUCGCUUCAUUGACAAGACAAAUGUUGUGGUGGAUAGUUCUCCAUUUGGUAGUUCAGCAGAAGCAGUUAAUUCCUUCUGUGAAGGUCUGGCUGAAGUACCUAAUCCCAUUCCAGUUGGGGAAGUUUAUGGUUCAGUAGCAGAACCUGACUCUGAUACUGUUCCAGAGGAGAAGAUUAGCAGAGAUAGUAGUAGUCCAGGUCAUAGUUUGUUGACUUCUAAUGUAGUCACAGAAAUGCAUGAAAAUGGGAAGAAAGAUGUGGCUGUGAUGGAUCAGAAUGAUAGGAGUUUGCCAGUCCUUGUGGACUUGGGAUUAGAGAAUAAGAGGGAUGAAGCAAUUAUUCUAGCAGGUAAUGCUUUGAGAGCUUUAGAGGCAAGGGGCACAGUUACUCAAGAAACUGAAGAAAAGCAGAUGCAUUUGUACACUGCUCCUGAAGAUGAAGCUGCAAAUUAUGGUCAUGCUAGUAAUGGUGAACACCAUAUUAAGGAUUCAGAAGUUCAUGGGCACUCUGAUACACAGCCGCUGGUUGCUUCUGCUAUACGACCUGUGCAAAGAACUUCAUGGAUGAGUUGCUGUGGUCUGUUUGAGGCAUUCGCUGGAUCAAGUAGAUAAUGCCCGUUCAUCAUGCUGUGUCUUAGGCACUGAACACUUCUAUCUUAGUGGGAGCCAAGAAUGGAGUAAAGCUGAAAUGUGUGACACAGCUUACCAAAAUAAGCGAAAAUCUCUCUGCAGAACUAACCUCAGGUUAUGUUAUACAUAUAUGUUAAGUAUCACUUGGGAACCCCUGAGACUUUCUUGGUUUAGUUUAUGCUUGUAUUUUUUUUUUUUUUGGGUCAAAAAGAUGCUUGUGCUAGUCUUCUAUAGUGUCUCCUUCCAUGUUUAGUGUGGUUUUGUUUUUCCUGUGGAGGAAGAUAAUGAGAGAUUUUUAGAUGUACUAAAGGGAGAUUUUUGCAUUGCAUAGCAUAGCAGGGAAAUGACAAAUUUUGAAGAUUUAUGAAUUUAUGUAUAUUAUUAGUUAUGAUAUUGUCAGUCAAUACAUUUUUGUUC
Molecule: RNA transcript, 1923 nt
Organism: Coffea eugenioides
Lineage: Eukaryota; Viridiplantae; Streptophyta; Magnoliopsida; Gentianales; Rubiaceae
Exons: 5
Source: RefSeq, a predicted model, not a curated record